CCAGCCUCACGCUUCACUCUUCUUCUCCAAACCUCCCCCUCUCAUUCUCACGCACACACACGGCGACACUCUCAACACCGGAUGGGAUUCAACACCACAUACUUAUUUAAUUUACUAAUAUUAAACUCGGUUCUUCAACUCCAACGAUUGAACUCCAAAAAACUAUAAGGUAAAGCUGCCGAGAUUCUACCAACGUUCGCACAACUCAGAUGAGUGGAGGUGGCAGCAGCACAUGGGAGCUAGUCGAGCAUGGUGUAGGGUCUGAGAUUAAUUAUUUAAAAGAAGUGGUGCUUGGGUUGUUGCUGGUGUCCUUCACGUGGGGAAACAAUGGGCAAAAGAUGUGGCAUUUAUUUAAAGAAAUGGUGUAGGGUAUGGCCCCCAUUUUAUUAAUUUAUGUGAUAACUCAUUUUUUUGGAUAAAAUAUUGGUGCUUACAUGCCCCAUCUGCAAAACCUAGGCUCCAUAGUAAAAUAAGAAGCAAAAUAAAACAAAACAAAAGAUACCUGAAACAUAAUCCACAUAGUUUUUAGAAUUUUGUUACCCGAUGAAAUUAGAAACAUUGUAAUGGAGAAAAUUAAAGCCACAGUGAUGGCAAGUUUGAGGCCAUUGGGACAAAAAAUGAAAACCAUCAUGCAUUAUACAUGUAGUGUGUUUUUAUGGUGAGGAGUAAAGGGGUUGACAGUUAAUUUUGAAGCUUUAAUUUGGAGGCAUAGUUAACAGCAAGAUAAACGAAUGUGUUUGGUAGCUUAGGUUUUCUGGGCAGCACUAACCCGCAAUGGUCAUCGACAAUUUUCAUGGUAGCAAAUGAGAAGAAAAAGAUGGAAGUUCGGGGAGACAUAUCAAACAGAAGAAAUGAUAAGGCACCACCCAUUGUGUGGUCGAGAAGCCCCUCCAGCGGAUGACUGUACAAAGCUCCAAAUGCAUAAUAAACGACAAGACGAUGUGCAGAGUUUGUUCUCAUACAUGUAUCUAUGCAGAAAAUACUAUCAUUUAUCCACUACCACCAUUACUGUAAGAAAUUGUCUAACUAUAACAACAAAGGAAGAUGACUGUCGAACAGAAACUUUA
Hibiscus syriacus is the source of this 1067-nucleotide long non-coding RNA. RefSeq lists it as uncharacterized. The record is from RefSeq and is a predicted model, not a curated record. Lineage: Eukaryota; Viridiplantae; Streptophyta; Magnoliopsida; Malvales; Malvaceae. The transcript has 3 exons.